AACGAACGCUGGCGGCAUGCCUAACACAUGCAAGUCGAACGAGACCUUCGGGUCUAGUGGCGCACGGGUGCGUAACGCGUGGGAACCUGCCCUUAGGUUCGGAAUAACUCCCCGAAAGGGGUGCUAAUACCGGAUAAUGUCUUCGGACCAAAGAUUUAUCGCCUUUGGAUGGGCCCGCGUUUGAUUAGCUAGUUGGUAGGGUAAAAGCCUACCAAGGCGACGAUCCAUAGCUGGUCUGAGAGGAUGAUCAGCCACACUGGGACUGAGACACGGCCCAGACUCCUACGGGAGGCAGCAGUGGGGAAUAUUGGACAAUGGGCGAAAGCCUGAUCCAGCAAUGCCGCGUGAGUGAUGAAGGCCUUAGGGUUGUAAAGCUCUUUUACCCGGGAUGAUAAUGACAGUACCGGGAGAAUAAGCGCCGGCUAACUCCGUG
RNAcentral lists this ribosomal RNA (433 nucleotides) under uncultured bacterium. RNAcentral describes it as "partial 16S ribosomal RNA". It matches the Rfam family "Bacterial small subunit ribosomal RNA", at positions 29 to 507 of the family's 1533-position model. The record is from RNAcentral.